CUUUAUUGGAGAGUUUGAUCCUGGCUCAGGACGAACGCUGGCGGCGUGCCUAAUACAUGCAAGUCGAGCGCCAGGGGUUCUCCCUUAGGGGAGACCUCCUGGAGCGGCGGACGGGUGAGUAACACGUAGGCAACCUGCCUGUAAGACCGGGAUAACUACCGGAAACGGUAGCUA
Molecule: ribosomal RNA, 174 nt
Filed under: Paenibacillus naphthalenovorans
Lineage: Bacteria; Bacillati; Bacillota; Bacilli; Caryophanales; Paenibacillaceae
Description: 16S rRNA. Bacterial SSU
Rfam family: Bacterial small subunit ribosomal RNA
Source: RNAcentral